Molecule: non-coding RNA, 426 nt
Organism: Danio rerio (zebrafish)
Lineage: Eukaryota; Metazoa; Chordata; Actinopteri; Cypriniformes; Danionidae
Source: RefSeq, a predicted model, not a curated record
GAUUCUACGUUGUUGCUAAAGGUUGUCACAACGAUGUCAUAAGGUUGCCAUUUAAACAUCAUGAGGGUCGCAUGCUUUAGGUUGUGCUUAGGUGGCGUGGACGACCACUGUACAACAUUUACUGGUCACAGCUGAAUCAGUUUAAAUUUCAACAAGCCGUCGUCUCAUUCAUCAACGACCGAGGAGACGCUAUUUUUACAUGGAGGUAAUCUUCUAUUGAUAAUUUCUGGAUUUUAAUUAUGCAAUGUUUUCAGCUGUUGAAUUCACCUCAGAUCAGUGUUGCUGUAAUUCCUGAUCUAUGGAAAGAAGAAUUGGAUGAGCGAGCAACGCCACAACUACAGGGCCUCUUCUUUCUCUACUCAUAAUUUAACUGGAUUAUCCGUUGAAUUUGUUUCUUCCUCUGACUGCUUUCUCCAUACCAACAAC